This 372-nucleotide ribosomal RNA is filed under the name uncultured organism. RNAcentral describes it as "bacterial SSU rRNA". It matches the Rfam family "Bacterial small subunit ribosomal RNA", at positions 526 to 896 of the family's 1533-position model. The record is from RNAcentral.
CGUAGGGGGCUAGCGUUGUCCGGAUUUAUUGGGCGUAAAGAGCGUGUAGGCGGCCAGAUAGGUCUGCUGUGAAAACUCGAGGCUCAACCUCGAGCUGUCGGCGGAAACCAUUUGGCUAGAGUCCGGAAGAGGAGAGUGGAAUUCCUGGUGUAGCAGUGAAAUGCGCAGAUAUCAGGAAGAACACCUAUGGCGAAGGCAGCUCUCUGGGACGGUACUGACGCUGAGACGCGAAAGCGUGGGGAGCGAACAGGAUUAGAUACCCUGGUAGUCCACGCCGUAAACGAUGGGUGCUAGGUGUGGGCGGUGUCGACUCCGUCCGUGCCGAAGCUAACGCAUUAAGCACCCCGCCUGGGGAGUACGGCCGCAAGGCUA